CAGUCGCCACGGUAAUACGUAGGGUGCAAGCGUUAAUCGGAAUUACUGGGCGUAAAGCGUGCGCAGGCGGUUUUGCAAGUCAGAUGUGAAAUCCCCGGGCUCAACCUGGGAACUGCAUUUGAAACUACAAGGCUAGAGUGUGUCAGAGGGGGGUAGAAUUCCACGUGUAGCAGUGAAAUGCGUAGAGAUGUGGAGGAAUACCGAUGGCGAAGGCAGCCCCCUGGGAUAACACUGACGCUCAUGCACGAAAGCGUGGGGAGCAAACAGGAUUAGAUACCCCGGUAGUCCCUGUCUCUUAUAC
This 301-nucleotide ribosomal RNA is filed under the name uncultured bacterium. RNAcentral's name for it is "partial 16S ribosomal RNA". It matches the Rfam family "Bacterial small subunit ribosomal RNA", at positions 509 to 807 of the family's 1533-position model. The record is from RNAcentral.